GACGUAGGGCGCGAGCGUUGUCCGGAAUUAUUGGGCGUAAAGAGCUCGUAGGCGGCUUGUCGCGUCGACUGUGAAAACCCGUGGCUCAACCAUGUGGUCUGCAGUCGAUACGGGCAGGCUAGAAUUCGGUAGGGGAGACUGGAAUUCCUGGUGUAGCGGUGAAAUGCGUAGAUAUCAGGAGGAACACCGGUGGUGAAGACGGCUCUCUGGACCGUUACUGACGC
This 224-nucleotide ribosomal RNA is filed under the name uncultured bacterium. Its description in RNAcentral is "partial 16S ribosomal RNA". It matches the Rfam family "Bacterial small subunit ribosomal RNA", at positions 524 to 746 of the family's 1533-position model. The record is from RNAcentral.